RNAcentral lists this non-coding RNA (21 nucleotides) under Caenorhabditis elegans. Lineage: Eukaryota; Metazoa; Nematoda; Chromadorea; Rhabditida; Rhabditidae. The record is from RNAcentral.
UAAAGUUGCAAUUAUUAAAGA